This 305-nucleotide ribosomal RNA is filed under the name uncultured bacterium. RNAcentral's name for it is "bacterial SSU rRNA". It matches the Rfam family "Bacterial small subunit ribosomal RNA", at positions 335 to 637 of the family's 1533-position model. The record is from RNAcentral.
UCUCCUAUGGGGGGCAGCAGUGAGGAAUAUUGGUCAAUGGGCGGGAGCCUGAACCAGCCAAGCCGCGUGAGGGAAGAAGGUACAGCGUAUCGUAAACCUCUUUUGUCAGGGAACAAAGGCGGGGACUAGUCCCCGGAUGAGGGUACCUGAAGAAAAAGCAUCGGCUAACUCCGUGCCAGCAGCCGCGGUAAUACGGAGGAUGCGAGCGUUAUCCGGAUUCAUUGGGUUUAAAGGGAGCGUAGGUGGAUUGUUAAGUCAGUUGUGAAAGUUUGCGGCUCAACCGUAAAAUUGCAGUUGAAACUGGC